AGACCCGAAACCCGGUGAUCUAGCCAUGGGCAGGUUGAAGGUUGGGUAACACUAACUGGAGGACCGAACCGACUAAUGUUGAAAAAUUAGCGGAUGACCUGUGGCUGGGGGUGAAAGGCCAAUCAAACCGGGAGAUAGCUGGUUCUCCCCGAAAGCUAUUUAGGUAGCGCCUCGUGAAUUCAUCUCCGGGGGUAGAGCACUGUUUCGGCUAGGGGGCCAUCCCGGCUUACCAACCCGAUGCAAACUGCGAAUACCGGAGAAUGUUAUCACGGGAGACACACGGCGGGUGCUAACGUCCGUCGUGAAGAGGGAAACAACCCAGACCGCCAGCUAAGGUCCCAAAGUCAUGGUUAAGUGGGAAACGAUGUGGGAAGGCCCAGACAGCCAGGAUGUUGGCUUAGAAGCAGCCAUCAUUUAAAGAAAGCGUAAUAGCUCACUGGUCGAGUCGGCCUGCGCGGAAGAUGUAACGGGGCUAAACCAUGCACCGAAGCUGCGGCAGCGAACGUAUCACUUAAAGCGAUUCAGCGGGUUACGAUUGACGGAGCGAAGCGACGUCAAAGCGUAUACAAAGUCGAGUCGGUUUAAGGAUACGUUCGUUGGGUAGGGGAGCGUUCUGUAAGCCUGUGAAGGUGGCCUGUGAGGGUUGCUGGAGGUAUCAGAAGUGCGAAUGCUGACAUAAGUAACGAUAAAGCGGGUGAAAAGCCCGCUCGCCGGAAGACCAAGGGUUCCUGUCCAACGUUAAUCGGGGCAGGGUGAGUCGACCCCUAAGGCGAGGCCGAAAGGCGUAGUCGAUGGGAAACGGGUUAAUAUUCCCGUACUUGGUGUUACUGCGAAGGGGGGACGGAGAAGGCUAUGUUGGCCGGGCGACGGUUGUCCCGGUUUAAGCGUGUAGGUGUGUGUUCCAGGUAAAUCCGGUUCACUUUAACACUGAGGCGUGAUGACGAGGCACUACGGUGCUGAAGUAACAAAUGCCCUGCUUCCAGGAAAAGCCUCUAAGCAUCAGGUAACAUCAAAUCGUACCCCAAACCGACACAGGUGGUCAGGUAGAGAAUACCAAGGCGCUUGAGAGAACUCGGGUGAAGGAACUAGGCAAAAUGGUGCCGUAACUUCGGGAGAAGGCACGCUGACACGUAGGUGAAGUGAUUUACUCA
This 1151-nucleotide ribosomal RNA is filed under the name Salmonella enterica subsp. enterica serovar Dublin. RNAcentral describes it as "partial 23S ribosomal RNA". It matches the Rfam family "Bacterial large subunit ribosomal RNA", at positions 711 to 1773 of the family's 2925-position model. The record is from RNAcentral. Lineage: Bacteria; Pseudomonadati; Pseudomonadota; Gammaproteobacteria; Enterobacterales; Enterobacteriaceae.